GCCCGGAUGGUGGAAUUGGCAGACACGCCAGACUUAGGAUCUGGUGCCGAAAGGUGUAAGGGUUCAAGUCCCUUUCCGGGCACCA
Molecule: transfer RNA, 85 nt
Filed under: Verrucomicrobia bacterium ADurb.Bin474
Lineage: Bacteria; Pseudomonadati; Verrucomicrobiota
Also listed under: 1 other name
Description: tRNA-Leu
Rfam family: tRNA
About the family: Transfer RNA (tRNA) molecules are approximately 80 nucleotides in length. Their secondary structure includes four short double-helical elements and three loops (D, anti-codon, and T loops).
Source: RNAcentral